This 460-nucleotide ribosomal RNA is filed under the name uncultured bacterium. RNAcentral's name for it is "partial 16S ribosomal RNA". It matches the Rfam family "Bacterial small subunit ribosomal RNA", at positions 338 to 795 of the family's 1533-position model. The record is from RNAcentral.
CCUACGGGAGGCAGCAGUGAGGAAUAUUGGUCAAUGGGCGCGAGCCUGAACCAGCCAAGUAGCGUGAAGGAUGACUGCCCUACGGGUUGUAAACUUCUUUUAUAAAGGAAUAAAGUGAGGCACGUGUGCCUUUUUGUAUGUACUUUAUGAAUAAGGAUCGGCUAACUCCGUGCCAGCAGCCGCGGUAAUACGGAGGAUCCGAGCGUUAUCCGGAUUUAUUGGGUUUAAAGGGAGCGUAGAUGGGUUGUUAAGUCAGUUGUGAAAGUUUGCGGCUCAACCGUAAAAUUGCAAUUGAUACUGGCAGUCUUGAGUGCAGGUGAGGUAGGCGGAAUGCGUGGUGUAGCGGUGAAAUGCUUAGAUAUCACGAAGAACUCCGAGUGCGAAGGCAGCGUACUAAACUGCCACUGACAUUGAUGCUCGAAAGUGUGGGUAUCAAACAGGAGUAGAUACCCUUGUAGUC